UGGGGAAUUUUGGACAAUGGGCGCAAGCCUGAUCCAGCAAUGCCGCGUGAGUGAAGAAGAGCCUUCGGGUUGUAAAGCUCUUUUGUCAGGGAAGAAACGAGUGAGUCCUAAUAUGAGCUUGCUAAUGACGGUACCUGAAGAAUAAGCACCGGCUAACUACGCUG
This 164-nucleotide ribosomal RNA is filed under the name bacterium enrichment culture. Its description in RNAcentral is "partial 16S ribosomal RNA". It matches the Rfam family "Bacterial small subunit ribosomal RNA", at positions 355 to 508 of the family's 1533-position model. The record is from RNAcentral.